RNAcentral lists this ribosomal RNA (373 nucleotides) under uncultured organism. RNAcentral describes it as "partial 16S ribosomal RNA". It matches the Rfam family "Bacterial small subunit ribosomal RNA", at positions 527 to 896 of the family's 1533-position model. The record is from RNAcentral.
GGAGGGUGCGAGCGUUGUUCGGAAUCACUGGGCGUAAAGCGCGUGUAGGCGGCCCGUUAAGUCUGAUGUGAAAGCCCGGGGCUCACCCCCGGAAGGGCAUUGGAAACUGGCGGACUAGAGUCUCGGAGAGGAGGGUGGAAUUCCUGGUGUAGCGGUGAAAUGCGUAGAUACCAGGAGGAACACCGGUGGCGAAGGCGGCCCUCUGGACGAUGACUGACGCUGAGACGCGAAAGCGUGGGGAGCAAACAGGAUUAGAUACCCUGGUAGUCCACGCCGUAAACGAUGAGCACUAGGUGUCGCGGGUAUUGACCCCCUGCGGUGCCCGCCGCUAACGCAUUAAGUGCUCCGCCUGGGGACUACGGCCGCAAGGCUA